This 1461-nucleotide ribosomal RNA is filed under the name Candidatus Ischnodemia utricula. Its description in RNAcentral is "bacterial SSU rRNA". It matches the Rfam family "Bacterial small subunit ribosomal RNA". Lineage: Bacteria; Pseudomonadati; Pseudomonadota; Gammaproteobacteria; Enterobacterales; Enterobacteriaceae. The record is from RNAcentral.
AUUGAACGCUAGCGGCAGACCUAACACAUGCAAGUCGAGCGGCAGCAUAAAGAAAGAUUUACUUCUUUGAUGGCGAGCGGCGGACGGGUGAGUAAUAUCUGGGGAUCUGCCUAAUGGAGGGGAUAACUAUUGGAAACGAUAGCUAAUGCCACAUAAUGUCAUAAGACCAAAGUGGGGGACCUUAGGGCCUCACGCCAUUAGAUGAACCCAGACGGGAUUAGCUAGUAGGUGAAGUAAUGGUUUACCUAGGCAACGAUCCCUAGCUGGUCUGAGAGGACGGCCAGCCACACUGGAACUGAGACACGGUCCAGACUCCUACGGGAGGCAGCAGUGGGGAAUAUUGCACAAUGGGGGGAACCCUGAUGCAGUCAUGCCGCGUGUGUGAAGAAGGCCUUCGGGUUGUAAAGCACUUUCGGUAGGGAGGAAAAUAAUAAUGUAAAUAACAUUAUUAUCUGACGUUACCUUCAGAAGAAGCACCGGCUAACUCCGUGCCAGCAGCCGCGGUAAUACGGAGGGUGCAAGCGUUAAUCGGAAUUACUGGGCGUAAAGCGUAUGCAGGCGGUUUAUUAAGUCAGGUGUGAAAUCCCUAGGCUUAACCUAGGAACUGCAUUUGAAACUGAUAAACUAGAGUCUCGUAGAGGGGGGUAGAAUUCCAGGUGUAGCGGUGAAAUGCGUAGAGAUCUGGAGGAAUACCAGUGGCGAAGGCGACCCCCUGGACGAAUACUGACGCUUAGAUACGAAAGCAUGGGGAGCAAACAGGAUUAGAUACCCUGGUAGUCCAUGCCGUAAACGAUGUCGAUUUGAAGGUUGUAACCUUGAGUUAUAGCCUUCGGAGCUAACGCGUUAAAUCGACCGCCUGGGGAGUACGGCCGCAAGGUUAAAACUCAAAUGAAUUACGGGGGCCCGCACAAGCGGUGGAGCAUGUGGUUUAAUUCGAUGCAACGCGAAGAACCUUACCUACUCUUGACAUCCAAAGAAUUGAGCAGAGAUGCUUAAGUGCCUUCGGGAACUUUGAGACAGGUGCUGCAUGGCUGUCGUCAGCUCGUGUUGUGAAAUGUUGGGUUAAGUCCCGCAACGAGCGCAACCCUUAUCCUUUGUUGCCAGCAAUUCGGUUGGGAACUCAAAGGAGACUGCCGGUGAUAAACCGGAGGAAGGUGGGGAUAACGUCAAGUCAUCAUGGCCCUUACGAGUAGGGCUACACACGUGCUACAAUGGCGUAUACAAAGAGAAGCAACCUCGUGAGAAUUAGCAAACCUCAUAAAGUGCGUCGUAGUCCGGAUUGGAGUCUGCAACUCGACUCCAUGAAGUCGGAAUCGCUAGUAAUCGUGAAUCAGAACGUCACGGUGAAUACGUUCCCGGGCCUUGUACACACCGCCCGUCACACCAUGGGAGUGGGUUGCAAAAGAAGCAAGUAGCUUAACCUUAUGGAGGGCGCUUACCACUUUGUGAUUCAUGACUGGG